UUAUCGGAGAGUUUGAUCCUGGCUCAGGACGAACGCUGGCGGCGUGCCUAAUACAUGCAAGUCGAGCGGACAGAUGGGAGCUUGCUCCCUGAUGUUAGCGGCGGACGGGUGAGUAACACGUGGGUAACCUGCCUGUAAGACUGGGAUAACUCCGGGAAACCGGGGCUAAUACCGGAUGGUUGUUUGAACCGCAUGGUUCAAACAUAAAAGGUGGCUUCGGCUACCACUUACAGAUGGACCCGCGGCGCAUUAGCUAGUUGGUGAGGUAACGGCUCACCAAGGCGACGAUGCGUAGCCGACCUGAGAGGGUGAUCGAGUACACUGGGACUGAGACACGACCAGACUCCUACGGGAGGCAGCAGUAGGGAAUCUUCCGCAAUGGACGAAAGUCUGACGGAGCAACGCCGCGUGAGUGAUGAAGGUUUUCGGAUCGUAAAGCUCUGUUGUUAGGGAAGAACAAGUACCGUUCGAAUAGGGCGGUACCUUGACGGUACCUAACCAGAAAGCCACGGCUAACUACGUGCCAGCAGCCGCGGUAAUACGUAGGUGGCAAGCGUUGUCCGGAAUUAUUGGGCGUAAAGGGCUCGCAGGCGGUUUCUUAAGUCUGAUGUGAAAGCCCCCGGCUCAACCGGGGAGGGUCAUUGGAAACUGGGGAACUUGAGUGCAGAAGAGGAGAGUGGAAUUCCACGUGUAGCGGUGAAAUGCGUAGAGAUGUGGAGGAACACCAGUGGCGAAGGCGACUCUCUGGUCUGUAACUGACGCUGAGGAGCGAAAGCGUGGGGAGCGAACAGGAUUAGAUACCCUGGUAGUCCACGCCGUAAACGAUGAGUGCUAAGUGUUAGGGGGUUUCCGCCCCUUAGUGCUGCAGCUAACGCAUUAAGCACUCCGCCUGGGGAGUACGGUCGCAAGACUGAAACUCAAAGGAAUUGACGGGGGCCGCACAAGCGGUGGAGCAUGUGGUUUAAUUCGAAGCAACGCGAAGAACCUUACCAGGUCUUGACAUCCUCUGACAAUCCUAGAGAUAGGACGUCCCCUUCGGGGGCAGAGUGACAGGUGGUGCAUGGUUGUCGUCAGCUCGUGUCGUGAGAUGUUGGGUUAAGUCCCGCAACGAGCGCAACCCUUGAUCUUAGUUGCCAGCAUUCAGUUGGGCACUCUAAGGUGACUGCCGGUGACAAACCGGAGGAAGGUGGGGAUGACGUCAAAUCAUCAUGCCCCUUAUGACCUGGGCUACACACGUGCUACAAUGGACAGAACAAAGGGCAGCGAAACCGCGAGGUUAAGCCAAUCCCACAAAUCUGUUCUCAGUUCGGAUCGCAGUCUGCAACUCGACUGCGUGAAGCUGGAAUCGCUAGUAAUCGCGGAUCAGCAUGCCGCGGUGAAUACGUUCCCGAGCCUUUGUACACACCGCCCGUCACACCACGAGAGUUUGUAACACCCGAAGUCGGUGAGGUAACCUUUUAGGAGCCAGCCGCCGAAGGUGGGACAGAUGAUUGGGGUGAAGUCGUAACAAGGUAGCCGUAUCGGAAGGUGCGGCUGGAUCACCUCCUUU
RNAcentral lists this ribosomal RNA (1549 nucleotides) under Bacillus subtilis. Its description in RNAcentral is "bacterial SSU rRNA". It matches the Rfam family "Bacterial small subunit ribosomal RNA". Lineage: Bacteria; Bacillati; Bacillota; Bacilli; Caryophanales; Bacillaceae. The record is from RNAcentral.